This 429-nucleotide ribosomal RNA is filed under the name Chloroflexota bacterium. Its description in RNAcentral is "Chloroflexi bacterium partial 16S ribosomal RNA". It matches the Rfam family "Bacterial small subunit ribosomal RNA", at positions 355 to 776 of the family's 1533-position model. Lineage: Bacteria; Bacillati; Chloroflexota. The record is from RNAcentral.
UGGGGAAUAUUGCACAAUGGGCGCAAGCCUGGUGCAGCCAUGCCGCGUGUAUGAAGAAGGCCUUCGGGUUGUAAAGUACUUUCAGCGGGGAGGAAGGGAGUAAAGUUAAUACCUUUGCUCAUUGACGUUACCCGCAGAAGAAGCACCGGCUAACUCCGUGCCAGCAGCCGCGGUAAUACGGAGGGUGCAAGCGUUAAUCGGAAUUACUGGGCGUAAAGCGCACGCAGGCGGUUUGUUAAGUCAGAUGUGAAAUCCCCGGGCUCAACCUGGGAACUGCAUCUGAUACUGGCAAGCUUGAGUCUCGUAGAGGGGGGUAGAAUUCCAGGUGUAGCGGUGAAAUGCGUAGAGAUCUGGAGGAAUACCGGUGGCGAAGGCGGCCCCCUGGACGAAGACUGACGCUCAGGUGCGAAAGCGUGGGGAGCAAACAGG